CAACGCUGGCGGCAGGCCUACACAUGCAAGUCGUACGCUCCAGCAAUGGAGAGUGGCAGACGGUUGAGUAACACGUAGGUAAUCUACCUUCGGGUGGGGAAUAACCCAGGGAAACUUGGGCUAACACCGCAUAAUGCAGCGGCACCACAUGGUGACAGUUGUUAAAGCGGGGGAUUUUAGGACCUCGCGCCUGAAGAGGAGCCUGCGGCAGAUUAGCUAGUUGGUAAGGUAACGGCUUACCAAGGCGACGAUCUGUAACCGGCCUGAGAGGGCGGUCGGUCACACUGACACUGACAUACGGGUCAGACUCCUACGGGAGGCAGCAGUCGGGAAUUUUGGGCAAUGGGCGAAAGCCUGACCCAGCAACGCCGCGUGAAGGAUGAAAUCCCUCGGGAUGUAAACUUCGCAAGAUUGGGAAGAAUUAGUAGGGGUUAAUACCCCCUAUGAUGACGGUACCUUUUGUAAGCUCCGGCUAACUCCGUGCCAGCAGCCGCGGUAAUACGGGGGGAGCAAGCGUUGUUCGGAUUUACUGGGCGUAAAGGGCGCGUAGGCGGUCAGCACAAGUCAGUUGUGAAAUCUCCGGGGCUUAACUCGGAAAGGUCAACUGAUACUGUGCGACUAGAGUGCAGA
This 630-nucleotide ribosomal RNA is filed under the name uncultured bacterium. RNAcentral's name for it is "bacterial SSU rRNA". It matches the Rfam family "Bacterial small subunit ribosomal RNA", at positions 31 to 652 of the family's 1533-position model. The record is from RNAcentral.